This 466-nucleotide ribosomal RNA is filed under the name uncultured bacterium. Its description in RNAcentral is "partial 16S ribosomal RNA". It matches the Rfam family "Bacterial small subunit ribosomal RNA", at positions 28 to 507 of the family's 1533-position model. The record is from RNAcentral.
GAUGAACGCUGGCGGCGUGCUUAACACAUGCAAGUCGAACGAUGAAGCCCAGCUUGCUGGGUGGAUUAGUGGCGAACAGGUGAGUAACACGUGAGUAACCUGCCCUUAACUCUGGGAUAAGCCUGGGAAACUGGGUCUAAUACCGGAUAGGAGCGCCUACCGCAUGGUGGGUGUUGGAAAGAUUUAUCGGUUUUGGAUGGACUCGCGGCCUAUCAGCUUGUUGGUGAGGUAAUGGCUCACCAAGGCGACGACGGGUAGCCGGCCUGAGAGGGUGACCGGCCACACUGGGACUGAGACACGGCCCAGACUCCUACGGGAGGCAGCAGUGGGGAAUAUUGCACAAUGGGCGAAAGCCUGAUGCAGCGACGCCGCGUGAGGGAUGACGGCCUUCGGGUUGUAAACCUCUUUCAGUAGGGAAGAAGCGAAAGUGACGGUACCUGCAGAAGAAGCACCGGCUAACUACGUG